This 229-nucleotide ribosomal RNA is filed under the name uncultured bacterium. Its description in RNAcentral is "partial 16S ribosomal RNA". It matches the Rfam family "Bacterial small subunit ribosomal RNA", at positions 568 to 796 of the family's 1533-position model. The record is from RNAcentral.
CACGUAGGCGGCUUGGUAUGUCGGGUGUGAAAUCCCCGGGCUCAACCUGGGAACUGCAUCCGAAACUGCCUUGCUAGAGUAUGGGAGAGGGAAGCGGAAUUUCCGGUGUAGCGGUGAAAUGCGUAGAUAUCGGAAGGAACAUCAGUGGCGAAGGCGGCUUCCUGGACCAAUACUGACGCUCAGGUGCGAAAGCGUGGGGAGCAAACAGGAUUAGAUACCCUGGUAGUCC